RNAcentral lists this ribosomal RNA (433 nucleotides) under uncultured bacterium. Its description in RNAcentral is "partial 16S ribosomal RNA". It matches the Rfam family "Bacterial small subunit ribosomal RNA", at positions 29 to 507 of the family's 1533-position model. The record is from RNAcentral.
AACGAACGCUGGCGGCAGGCCUAACACAUGCAAGUCGAGCGAGCAUUUCGGUGCUAGCGUCGGAAGGGUGAGUAACGCGUGGGAACGUGCCCUUUUCUGCGGAAUAGUCCUGGGAAACUGGGGGUAAUACCGCAUACGCCCUUUUUAGGAAAGAUUUAUCGGAGAAGGAUCGGCCCGCGUUGGAUUAGGUAGUUGGUGGGGCAAUGGCCCACCAAGCCGACGAUCCAUAGCUGGUUUGAGAGGAUGAUCAGCCACACUGGGACUGAGACACGGCCCAGACUCCUACGGGAGGCAGCAGUGGGGAAUCUUAGACAAUGGGGGCAACCCUGAUCUAUCCAUGCCGCGUGAGUGAUGAAGGCCUUAGGGUUGUAAAGCUCUUUCAGCUGGGAAGAUAAUGACGGUACCAGCAGAAGAAGCCCCGGCUAACUCCGUG